This 507-nucleotide ribosomal RNA is filed under the name Longitarsus exsoletus. RNAcentral's name for it is "partial 16S ribosomal RNA". The stretch from base 380 to 507 matches the Rfam family "Bacterial large subunit ribosomal RNA", at positions 2473 to 2600 of the family's 2925-position model. Lineage: Eukaryota; Metazoa; Arthropoda; Insecta; Coleoptera; Chrysomelidae. The record is from RNAcentral.
GUCUUUUUGGUAUUAAUUUAAGGUUUAGCCUGCCCAAUGAAAAUUUGAAUGGCCGCGGUAUUUUGACUGUGCUAAGGUAGCAUAAUCAUUAGUUUUUUAAUUAAAAGCUGGAAUGAAGGGUUGGAUGAAAAAUUAACUGUCUCUAAUUAAUUUUAUUAGAAUUUUAUUUUUAAGUUAAAAAGCUUAAAUAAUUUUAAAAGACGAGAAGACCCUAUAGAGUUUGAUAUAUUUAAUUUAUUAAUAUUAAGAAUUUACUUUUUAUAAUUAUAAUAUAUUUAAUUGGGGUGAUUAAAAAAUUUAAUAAACUUUUUUUAUAAAUUUAUAUUGGUUAAUAAAUUAAUGAUCCAAAAAUUUUGAUUAUAAGAUAAAUUACCUUAGGGAUAACAGCGUAAUUUUAUUAGAGAGUUCUAAUCGAAAAUAAAGUUUGCGACCUCGAUGUUGGAUUAAAAUUUAUAUUUGGUGUAGCAGCUAAAUAAUUUAAGUCUGUUCGACUUUUAGAAUUUUACA